This 252-nucleotide ribosomal RNA is filed under the name uncultured bacterium. RNAcentral describes it as "partial 16S ribosomal RNA". It matches the Rfam family "Bacterial small subunit ribosomal RNA", at positions 793 to 1055 of the family's 1533-position model. The record is from RNAcentral.
GUCCACGCCGUAACGAUGGAUACUAGCUGUUCGGAGCAAUCUGAGUGGCUAAGCGAAAGUGAUAAGUAUCCCACCUGGGGAGUACGUUCGCAAGAAUGAAACUCAAAGGAAUUGACGGGGCCCGCACAAGCGGUGGAGCAUGUGGUUUAAUUCGAUGAUACGCGAGGAACCUUACCAAGGCUUAAAUGGGAAACGACAGGUUUGGAAACAGACUUUUCUUCGGACGUUUUCAAGGUGCUGCAUGGUUGUCGU